AUUUAAGUAGCUUAUUAGAGCAUAACAUUGAAGCUGUUAAGGAGGUAGUAUUAUCCUUAAGUA
Molecule: transfer RNA, 63 nt
Filed under: Sinochlora sinensis
Lineage: Eukaryota; Metazoa; Arthropoda; Insecta; Orthoptera; Tettigoniidae
Description: tRNA-Phe
Source: RNAcentral